This 374-nucleotide ribosomal RNA is filed under the name uncultured organism. Its description in RNAcentral is "bacterial SSU rRNA". It matches the Rfam family "Bacterial small subunit ribosomal RNA", at positions 526 to 896 of the family's 1533-position model. The record is from RNAcentral.
CGUAGGCACCAAGCGUUGUCCGGAUUUAUUGGGCGUAAAGAGCUCGUAGGCGGUUCGGUAAGUCGGGUGUGAAAACUCUGGGCUCAACCCAGAGCCGCCACCCGAUACUGCUGUGACUUGAGUUCGGUAGGGGAGCGGGGAAUUCCUGGUGUAGCGGUGAAAUGCGCAGAUAUCAGGAGGAACACCAGUGGCGAAGGCGCCGCUCUGGGCCGAGACUGACGCUGAGGAGCGAAAGCGUGGGUAGCAAACAGGAUUAGAUACCCUGGUAGUCCACGCCGUAAACGUUGGGCACUAGGUGUGGGUCUCAACCAACGAGAUCCGCGCCGUCGCUAACGCAUUAAGUGCCCCGCCUGGGGAGUACGGUCGCAAGACUA